CAGAGGUAGGGCCACACUGGACUUGUGGGAUACAACAGGGACAGAUGUGGGUGACUUAAGGGACUCAUGAGACCUGAAGAAAGGAGGCCAGGGUAUGAGUCCUCAUGUGCCUGCCCUGCCACCCGUCAGACAUCUGUGCCUAGACUCAGAGGCAGCUGCUAAGUAACAACUGUCUGAGAGCUCAGGAAACUAAAGACUGGAACAUUAUCCCCCGGAUUUUUCAUGCUUUUGGAACCGUGUAUGAACAUCCUGACAGGCUUUGAGGAAAUGCAACAAAAAGCAGCUGGCUCAGACUCUGAAGGAGAGAAAGCCGCUCUUCCCCAGCCCAAUUUAUAACUGGUCCGCCACCUACAGCACCACGCUUCCAUUUUCCUAUCUGUAAGACGAAGUCACUGCCUGGCGUGUCACGAUUUAACCACACGUACAGAGUUUGGG
Molecule: long non-coding RNA, 435 nt
Filed under: Cricetulus griseus (Chinese hamster)
Lineage: Eukaryota; Metazoa; Chordata; Mammalia; Rodentia; Cricetidae
Description: lncRNA (ENSCGRG00015040875.1)
Source: RNAcentral